This is an RNA transcript of Panicum virgatum (switchgrass), 2068 nucleotides long. It is a transcript of the gene named eukaryotic translation initiation factor 4B1-like, with no coding region annotated. The transcript has 3 exons. Lineage: Eukaryota; Viridiplantae; Streptophyta; Magnoliopsida; Poales; Poaceae. The record is from RefSeq and is a predicted model, not a curated record.
CCAGCAGCAAGCGCCUCCCUGUACUGGAUUUCACACCCACCUCCCUCCGCCUCCGCGCACCACCAAACCCUAGAUCUCGCACCGGCGGCGGCAGCAGCAGCAGCCAUGGCCAAGCCCUGGGGCGGCGUCGGCGCGUGGGCGCUGGACGCCGAGCGCGCCGAGGAGGAGGAGCGCGAGCGCGCCGCGGCCGUCCCGGCGCCCGUGCCCGCCGGCGGCGCCGCCAGCUUCCCCAGCCUCGCGGAGGCGGCCGCCGCGGGCGGCGGGGGCAAGUCCAAGAAGAAGAGCAAGGGCACCACCCUGUCGCUCUCCGAGUUCACCACCUACGGCGCGGCAGCGGCGCAGCGCCGCGCCGCUCCCGUGGAGCCCAGGGGCCUCACCCCUAACGAGAUGAUGAUGCUGCCCACGGGGCCCCGGGAGCGCUCCGACGAGGAGCUCGACCGCUCCCGCGGCUUCCGCUCCUACGGCGGCCUCGGGGGAGGCGAGCGCCGCGGCUUCGACGACGAGGGCCGCCGCGGGAGCAGGAGCUCGGAUCUCGACAUGCCCUCCCGCGCCGACGAGGUGGACGACUUGGGGGGCCACUAAGAAGUUCACCCCGGCUGCCACCGACUCCGGCCGCCGCGACAGGUUCGGCGGGCCGUCCCCGCUCGGCCGCGCGGAUGACAUUGACGACUGGUCGCGCGACAAGAAGCCGCUCCCGUCGCGCUACCCCAGCCUCGGUUCCGGUGGCGCCGGCGGCGGAUUCCGCAGCUCGUCCGGCUUCCGCGACUCACCGGGCUUCCGUGACUCACCGGCUUCCUCUGAUUCCGACCGUUGGGUCCGUGGAGCCACCCCUAUGCCCCACAACGGCGAGGGGGCGGGGGAGAGGCCGCGCAUCGUUCUCAAUCCUCCGAAACGUGAUCCUGCAGCUACAUCUACGCCACCUGCCGAGGUGGCACGCAACCGGCCAAGCCCAUUUGGGGCCGCAAGGCCCCGGGAGGAUGUGCUGGCCGAGAAGGGAGUUGAUUGGAGGAAGUUCGAGAGUGAGAUUGAGCAGAAGACCAGUCGGCCUACCAGCUCGCACUCCAGCAGGCCAAAUAGUGCGCAUUCCUCCCGCCCUGGGAGCCCUGGGUCCCAGGUUUCAGCGGUUGGAAGUGAGGGAGCGCCCAGGGCAAGGCCAAAGGUUAACCCUUUCGGUGAUGCCAAGCCAAGGGAAGUUGUUUUGCAGGAGAAAGGGAAAGAUUGGAGGAAGAUUGACCUUGAGCUGGAGCAUCGUGCUGUAAAUAGGCCAGAGUCCGAUGACGAAAGAAAUUUGAAAGAAGAAAUCAACCUUAUGAAGGUGGAUCUGAAAGAAAUCGAGGGAAAGAUAAGUGAUGGUUCUGACCAAGCCUCGUUAGAUGCCAAAAAUUUGUCUGAGAAGAUAUCUCAGUUGGAAAAUCAACUCGAGCAGCUUACAAGGGAGUUGGAUGACAAGAUUCGAUUUGGGCAAAGACCGCGUUCUGGUGCCGGCAGGGUUAUAGCGCAUCCACCAACUGGUUUAGUGGAGGAACCACAAGCUACAGUUGUGGACAGACCGUGUUCUCGUGGUAUGGAACCACCACCCCCAAGGGCGGAAGAAAGAUGGGGAUUUCAAGCAAGCAGAGAAAGGGGCUCUUUUGGUGGAAGCAGAAGUUCAGAUAGGCCAGUGACGAGGCAGCGAUGGUGAAAUUGGGACUCCGGGCAUCUGUUAAUUGUUAGGGAAACUUUUUGAUUCCCAGUCCCUUUUUGGUUUUGAAAAGGAUACGCAGAAUAAGUAAUUUUGUGUUCGUCAUGUUUGUUUGGUCUAGAAGAUUGGAGAGGAUGGAGAUAACUCCACAUGAAGUUAUUGAUUGUCACCUCUGUAUGCUGUAGAAUGUUUUUCAUUUCCCUUUUUUGCAAUCGUCCAUGUCAAAACAAGACCUGGCAACUUGCGAUACUAACUGUUAUUCAUGCCUACUGAAUUCAAGUUCAGCUUUUGUCGCAAGUUGUUUAUUUGGGCAAGGUGGAAUGGAGAUCUUGAAGUUAAUCUUUUGUACCAGUACAUCUGUACAUGUGUUAUAUAUCUUCUUUAUUU